UCAAUAAGCGGAGGAAAAGAAACUAACAAGGAUUCCCCUAGUAACUGCGAGUGAAGCGGGAAAAGCUCAAAUUUAAAAUCUGGCAGUCUCUGGCUGUCCGAGUUGUAAUCUAGAGAAGUAAUGCCCGUGCUGGACCGUGUAUAAGUCUCCUGGGAUGGGGCGUCAUAGAGGGUGAGAAUCCCGUCUUUGACACGGACUACCAGUGCAUUGUGGUAUGCUCUCAAAGAGUCGAGUUGUUUGGGAAUGCAGCUCAAAAUGGGUGGUAAAUUCCAUCUAAAGCUAAAUAUUGGCGAGAGACCGAUAGCGAACAAGUACCGUGAGGGAAAGAUGAAAAGAACUUUGGAAAGAGAGUUAAACAGUACGUGAAAUUGCUGAAAGGGAAACGCUUGAAGUCAGUCGCGUUGGCCGGGAAUCAGCCUUGCUUUUUGCUUGGUGUACUUUCUGGUUGAUGGGUCAGCAUCAAUUUUGACCACUGGAAAAAGGCCUGGGGAAUGUGGCAGCUUCGGCUGUGUUAUAGCCUCUAGUCGCAUACAGUGGUUGGGAUUGAGGAACUCAGCACGCCGCAAGGCCGGGUUUCGACCACGUUCGUGCUUAGGAUGCUGGCAUAAUGGCUUUAAGCGACCCGUCUUGAAACACGGACCAAGGAGUCUAACAUGCCUGCGAGUAUUUGGGUGGAAAACUCAAGUGCGUAAUGAAAGUGAAAGUUGAGAUCCCUGUCGUGGGGAGCAUCGACGCCCGGACCAGAACUUUUGGGACGGAUCCGCGGUGGAGCAUGUAUGUUGGGACCCGAAAGAUGGUGAACUAUGCCUGAAUAGGGUGAAGCCAGAGGAAACUCUGGUGGAGGCUCGUAGCGAUUCUGACGUGCAAAUCGAUCGUCAAAUUUGGGUAUAGGGGCGAAAGACUAAUCGAACCAUCUAG
This 918-nucleotide ribosomal RNA is filed under the name Agaricus sp. RNAcentral's name for it is "partial large subunit ribosomal RNA". It matches the Rfam family "Eukaryotic large subunit ribosomal RNA", at positions 43 to 947 of the family's 3401-position model. Lineage: Eukaryota; Fungi; Basidiomycota; Agaricomycetes; Agaricales; Agaricaceae. The record is from RNAcentral.